This 1945-nucleotide long non-coding RNA is filed under the name Anolis carolinensis (green anole). RNAcentral describes it as "lncRNA (ENSACAG00000041926.1)". Lineage: Eukaryota; Metazoa; Chordata; Lepidosauria; Squamata; Anolidae. The record is from RNAcentral.
AUGUUCUGUCAUUUAGAAAAAAGGUCUGAGCAUGGAAGGCUACCAUCAUUUCUGUGUAUGCCUUCCAUGCUCAAACCUUUUCCUCACCAUAUACUAAAGUAUAUGGUGAGCUGGGGAAAUGUAACUCUCCCAACUACAAUUCCCAAUUGUGAAGCUGCAGUCCAGCAAUAUCCAAAGGACUAUGCAUUCCCCAUCCUUUUACUAAUAUAUUAUCUGGCUGAACAUCAGGCAUUGUGACAGUAGCAGUGCAACUAUUUAAUGCUGGUUUUACAACCCAUGCAACUAAGUUCCAUCUGUUCUCCUAAUUCAUUUAUUCAUAUUUAAAUUGUUCUUUUUCUCUUUUAAUCAGUACUAUGAUAGCAAUCAUUAUUGGUUCCCAUUUUCCCAUAGGAUAUUAGAAACAGACAAAAGAUGUACCUAGAGCACCCUAAAUAGUCCAUAACAGAACAGAUGCUUAGGCCAACUUCUUUUAAACCAGUAGCUUCCCCUCUUUGUCACCUCAGAUGUUGUUGGGCUUUGAUAUCCUGGAGUAUCAGUGAACUUGGACAAUAUGAGAGAUCCUGGGAGUUGUAGUACAACAAAAAUCUGAGGAUCCUUCUGUUUUAGACCCAUAUCCAGUGCUCACUCCUGCCAUCUCUGACUCUAGUUACUAAAGACAUUCUUAUACAGUUUUAAUUGACCAAUUAGACUGCAAACCUGCACCCAUUUCCCUGGAAGAUACUUCUGAGAGGACAUAUAUUGGGCUGUACUCUCUCCCCACCAUCGCAAAGAAGAAUUUCCAUUAAGUAUUCACAUGUGAAAGUACAUCUCAGGGGCUGGGAGGAUUCGAAAGAUUUACUUCCAAAAACAAACAUAUUUAGAAUGAAGUUGAAUGCAGGAAACAGUUACAAUUAAUGUCCAAAUUUUGAUCAAUAUGAACAUUCGCAUAUGCAUACUGACAACAUCAGACCAAUUUUGUGAAUGCCCCUAAACACAUUUAUUCAUUUCCCCACUUUUCAAAUACACAGCACCAGUAUUCAGAAUUAAAUUACUCUAUUCAGUAGUGCAUUGUUGAAUUUAGAAACUUUUUUAAAUGUCCGGGGCUGUCAGCAGUUAAAUGUCUACGUUUACCAAACUUGUGGCAUUUGACAAAGCCACAUCUUUCCAGUGCACUAUCACGCAAGUGUUAAUGGACCCCCAAUUUCAGAUAAACAUAUAUAUAUUGCCUAUAUUUGAGUAGCUCAGAAAAGGAGCUAAAACAAACAAGCAACACACAGGCUAGCAGAUUAGUUGCCAAAAAUAUUACAGGACCCCUUCCUUUUAUGUUUUUUGCUUCUGUUCAUUUAAAAAAUGAGAGUAUCCAGAUCUCUGAGGCUGAUGAUGCACAUAAGGCAGUCCAAGGCAAGGAAGUAUAGACAAGAUCUGCUUUUCCCUCCCUCCUUCCGUCUGAUUUUUAUCAUAUCGCCAUCAAAACCUCUACCUCCUACAGUUUCAUCACCUGGCCUUCUCACUAGGUGAACCGUGGUGGUGAGAAAUCAUGGAGAGAAUGGAGAGAGAGCAGGCUUUGUUUAAAUAAUAGCCUUUGCUUGAAAAAUGUAAGCAACCUCAUCAAGCUGCACUUUUCCUGGAUCGACCAGGAGGGGGCUAUUCACUCGCCACUACAAAUACCAAAAUAUGGUCCCAUGAUGCCCAGGGCAAAUAGAGUACCCUAGUUCUCAGCUCCUCCUGCUGUUUACUAAGCACAAAUCAUACAAAGCACAAAUCGUACCAAACUCUUUGACUAACGUAUCCUAUUUCAAAUAGGUUCACCAUUUCCUCAGCCCAUAUACUCUGCCCUGCACAGUUAUGUUAUGCCAAGGAGCAUGCAUAUGAACCCCCUCUACUACCUGCACUGCUCAAAUCUGAUCUGGGUGGAGGAACUGUUUUUUCUUCUAUAAAGGUUCAACAUGGAUUUAUUCAUAGAUUU